ACGGGGGGAGCAAGCGUUGUUCGGAUUUACUGGGCGUAAAGGGCGCGUAGGCGGCCAGCGCAAGUCAGUUGUGAAAUCUCUGGGCUUAACCCAGAAAGGUCAACUGAUACUGCGGGGCUAGAGUGCAGAAGGGGCAACUGGAAUUCCAGGUGUAGCGGUGAAAUGCGUAGAUAUCUGGAGGAACACCGGUGGCGAAGGCGGCAUCCUGGACCGGUAUUGACGCUGAGGCGCGAAAGCCAGGGGAGCAAACGGGA
Molecule: ribosomal RNA, 254 nt
Filed under: uncultured prokaryote
Description: partial 16S ribosomal RNA
Rfam family: Bacterial small subunit ribosomal RNA
Source: RNAcentral